UACGUAGGCAGCAAGCGUUGUUCAGAGUUACUGGGCGUAAAGGGUGUGUAGGCGGUUGCUUAAGUUUGGUGUGAAAUCUCCCGGCUCAACUGGGAGGGUGCGCCGAAUACUGAGUGACUCGAGUGCGGGAGAGGAAAGUGGAAUUCCUGGUGUAGCGGUGAAAUGCGUAGAUAUCAGGAGGAACACCGGUGGUGUAGACGGCUUUCUGGACCGUAACUGACGCUGAAACACGAAAGCGUGGGUAGCAAACAGG
This 253-nucleotide ribosomal RNA is filed under the name uncultured bacterium. Its description in RNAcentral is "partial 16S ribosomal RNA". It matches the Rfam family "Bacterial small subunit ribosomal RNA", at positions 524 to 776 of the family's 1533-position model. The record is from RNAcentral.